AGCGAACGCUGGCGGCAGGCCUAACACAUGCAAGUCGAACGAACUCUCCGUAGUUAGUGGCGGUCGGGGGGGGAACACGGGGGAAGGUGCAUGUAGGUACCGAAUAACUCAGGGUAACUUGUGCUAAUACAGAAUGUGCCCUUCGGGGGAAAGAUUUAUCGCCUUUGGGGCGGCCCGGGUCUGUUUAGCUGGUUGGGGAGGUAAAGGCUGACGAAGGCGACGAUCAGUAGCUGGUCUGAGAGGCUGCUCCGCCACCUUGGGACUGAGCCACGGCCCAAACUCCUACGGGAGGGAGGAGUGGGGAAUCCAGCGCAAUGGGCGAAGGCCUGACGCCGCCCUGGCGCGUGAAUGAUGAAGGUGUUAGGAUUGUAAAAUUCUUUAACCGGGGGCGAUAAUGACGGUACCCGGAGAAGAAGCCCCGGCUAACUUCGUG
RNAcentral lists this ribosomal RNA (433 nucleotides) under uncultured bacterium. RNAcentral's name for it is "partial 16S ribosomal RNA". It matches the Rfam family "Bacterial small subunit ribosomal RNA", at positions 28 to 507 of the family's 1533-position model. The record is from RNAcentral.